UACGUAGGGGGCAAGCGUUGUCCGGAUUUAUUGGGCGUAAAGAGCGUGUAGGCGGUUAGGUAGGUCCGUUGUGAAAACUCGAGGCUCAACCUCGAGACGCCGAUGGAAACCAUCUAACUAGAGUCCGGAAGAGGAGUGUGGAAUUCCUGGUGUAGCGGUGAAAUGCGCAGAUAUCAGGAGGAACACCAAUGGCGAAGGCAGCACUUUGGGACGGUACUGACGCUGAGACGCGAAAGCGUGGGGAGCAAACAGG
RNAcentral lists this ribosomal RNA (253 nucleotides) under uncultured bacterium. RNAcentral's name for it is "partial 16S ribosomal RNA". It matches the Rfam family "Bacterial small subunit ribosomal RNA", at positions 524 to 776 of the family's 1533-position model. The record is from RNAcentral.